This 1073-nucleotide ribosomal RNA is filed under the name Tricholoma frondosae. Its description in RNAcentral is "eukaryotic LSU rRNA". It matches the Rfam family "Eukaryotic large subunit ribosomal RNA", at positions 81 to 1140 of the family's 3401-position model. The record is from RNAcentral. Lineage: Eukaryota; Fungi; Basidiomycota; Agaricomycetes; Agaricales; Tricholomataceae.
UAGUAACUGCGAGUGAAGCGGGAUAAGCUCAAAUUUAAAAUCUGGGGGUCCUGUGGCCCUCCGAGUUGUAAUCUAGAGAAGUGCUAUCCGCGCUGGACCGUGUACAAGUCUCCUGGAACGGAGCGUCAUAGAGGGUGAGAAUCCCGUCUUUGACACGGACUACCAGGGCUUAUGUGAUGUGCUCUCAAAGAGUCGAGUUGUUUGGGAAUGCAGCUCUAAAUGGGUGGUAAAUUCCAUCUAAAGCUAAAUAUUGGCGAGAGACCGAUAGCGAACAAGUACCGUGAGGGAAAGAUGAAAAGAACUUUGGAAAGAGAGUUAAACAGUACGUGAAAUUGUUGAAAGGGAAACGCUUGAAGUCAGUCGCGUUGCCCAGAAAUCAACCUUGCUUUUGCUUGGUGUACUUUCUGGUUAACGGGUCAGCAUCAAUUUUGACCGGUGGAUAAAGGUCAGGGGAAUGUGGCAUCUUUGGAUGUGUUAUAGCCCUUGGUUGCAUACAUCGAUUGGGAUUGAGGAACUCAGCAUGCCGCAAGGCCGGGUUUUUAACCACGUUACAUGCUUAGGAUGCUGGCAUAAUGGCUUUAAUCGACCCGUCUUGAAACACGGACCAAGGAGUCUAACAUGCACGCGAGUGUUUGGGUGGAAAACCCGAGCGCGUAAUGAAAGUGAAAAUUGAGAUCCCUGUCGUGGGGAGCAUCAAUGCCCGGACCAGACCUUUUGUGACGGAUCCGCGGUUGAGCGUGUAUGCUGGGACCCGAAAGAUGGUGAACUAUGCCUGAAUAGGGUGAAGCCAGAGGAAACUCUGGUGGAGGCUCGUAGCGAUUCUGACGUGCAAAUCGAUCGUCAAAUUUGGGUAUAGGGGCGAAAGACUAAUCGAACCAUCUAGUAGCUGGUUCCUGCCGAAGUUUCCCUCAGGAUAGCAGAAACUCAUAUCAGAUUUAUGUGGUAAAGCGAAUGAUUAGAGGCCUUGGGGUUGCAACAACCUUAACCUAUUCUCAAACUUUAAAUAUGUAAGAACGGGUCGUCUCUUGAUUGGACCUCCCGGCGAUUGAGAGUUUCUAGUGGGCCAUUUUUGG